Molecule: transfer RNA, 69 nt
Filed under: Hyloxalus awa
Lineage: Eukaryota; Metazoa; Chordata; Amphibia; Anura; Dendrobatidae
Description: tRNA-Val
Rfam family: tRNA
About the family: Transfer RNA (tRNA) molecules are approximately 80 nucleotides in length. Their secondary structure includes four short double-helical elements and three loops (D, anti-codon, and T loops). Further hydrogen bonds mediate the characteristic L-shaped molecular structure. tRNAs have two regions of fundamental functional importance: the anti-codon, which is responsible for specific mRNA codon recognition, and the 3' end, to which the tRNAs corresponding amino acid is attached (by aminoacyl-tRNA synthetases). tRNAs cope with the degeneracy of the genetic code in two manners: having more than one tRNA (with a specific anti-codon) for a particular amino acid; and 'wobble' base-pairing, i.e. permitting non-standard base-pairing at the 3rd anti-codon position.
Source: RNAcentral
CAAAAUGUAGCUUAAUUAAAGCAUUUCGCUUACACCGAAAUAAUAUCUGUGAGACUCUGAUCAUUUUGA